Molecule: ribosomal RNA, 254 nt
Filed under: uncultured bacterium
Lineage: Bacteria
Description: partial 16S ribosomal RNA
Rfam family: Bacterial small subunit ribosomal RNA
Source: RNAcentral
CACGUAGGGUGCGAGCGUUGUCCGGAAUUAUUGGGCGUAAAGAGCUAGUAGGCGGUGUGUCGCGUCGGCCGUGAAAACCUGCAGCUUAACUGUGGGCUUGCGGUCGAUACGGGCAUCACUGGAGUUCGGCAGGGGAGACUGGAAUUCCUGGUGUAGCGGUGAAAUGCGCAGAUAUCAGGAGGAACACCGGUGGCGAAGGCGGGUCUCUGGGCCGAUACUGACGCUGAGGAGCGAAAGCGUGGGGAGCGAACAGG